Molecule: ribosomal RNA, 274 nt
Filed under: uncultured bacterium
Lineage: Bacteria
Description: partial 16S ribosomal RNA
Rfam family: Bacterial small subunit ribosomal RNA
Source: RNAcentral
AUACGGAGGGUGCGAGCGUUACUCGGAAUCACGGGGCGUAAAGCGCGCGCAGGCGGUCUUUUAAGUUGGAUGUGAAAUCCUACAGCUUAACUGUAGAACUGCAUUUGAAACUGCUAACCUAGAGUAUGGGAGGGGGAGAUGGAAUUAGUGGUGUAGGGGUAAAAUCCGUAGAUAUCACUAGGAAUACCGAAAGCGAAGGCGAUCUCCUGGAACAUAACUGACGCUAAGGCGUGAAAGCGUGGGGAGCAAACAGGAUUAGAAACCCUAGUAGUCC